GCAAGUACCAACUCCAUGUGAGACACUGCAAACAGUAUUUCUCUUCGAAACGAAUUCUUUUGUAGUAACGCGAACAAUGCAAUAAAUUAUGUGAGAAAGGAUACGUACUAGCUCAUCCCACCUAUAGAAGUUGUUGAUGUAAAGUAUGUUAGUCCACCAAUAUUUGGAACACUUAGUAUUUGGAUGUUCAAUAGGAAGAAGUGCUGAGACAUGAUGAUGCCAGGUAAAAUUCAAUAUCGCUAUCAAUAUAACGACGAAAUAUGCAGGUGUAAGCCUUCGAAGUUAAUAUAUUUAUUUUAUUAUUAUCGAAAUCUCAUCGAUAGAACUAAUUAAGCAUUGAUACUAUAUUAUACCUUAUAUAUCUUAUGA
This 369-nucleotide unclassified non-coding RNA is filed under the name Bombus terrestris (buff-tailed bumblebee). RNAcentral's name for it is "misc RNA ENSBTSG00005024462.1". The record is from RNAcentral. Lineage: Eukaryota; Metazoa; Arthropoda; Insecta; Hymenoptera; Apidae.